Molecule: ribosomal RNA, 549 nt
Filed under: Branchipolynoe trifurcus
Lineage: Eukaryota; Metazoa; Annelida; Polychaeta; Phyllodocida; Polynoidae
Description: Branchinotogluma trifurcus partial large subunit ribosomal RNA
Rfam family: Bacterial large subunit ribosomal RNA
Source: RNAcentral
GGUCCAUCCUGCCCAGUGAUCAAUUCAACGGCCGCGGUACCCUAACCGUGCAAAGGUAGCAUAAUCAUUUGCCUAUUAAUUGUAGGCUAGUAUGAACGGACAAACGAAAUUCUAACUGUGUCAUUAAUAUUCAUAAAAAUUAGACUUUAGGUGAAGAUACCUAAAUUUUCUUGAAAGACAAGAAGACCCUAUAAAGUUUUAGUAAAAAAUUUUUACCCUAACUCCUAUUACUUUGGUUGGGGCGACCUAGGAUUAUCAAAAACAUCCUUUUAAAAUAAGAAUUAUUAUUCUCCACAAAGACCCUGAAAUUCAGAUUCCUAAAACCAACUACCUUAGGGAUAACAGGCUUAUCUUCCUAAAGAGUUCAAAUUGACAGGAAGGUCUGGCACCUCGAUGUUGGCUUAGAGUAACCCUUUAAUGCAAAAGUUAAAUAAGGUCGGUUUGUUCAACCGUUAAAUCUCUACAUGAUCUGAGUUCAGACCGGAGCCGCUAUUAAAGGUUCGUUUGUUCAACGAUUAAAGUCCUACGUGAUCUGAGUUCAGACCGGAG